This 465-nucleotide ribosomal RNA is filed under the name uncultured bacterium. RNAcentral's name for it is "partial 16S ribosomal RNA". It matches the Rfam family "Bacterial small subunit ribosomal RNA", at positions 28 to 507 of the family's 1533-position model. The record is from RNAcentral.
GACGAACGCUGGCGGCGUGCUUAACACAUGCAAGUCGUACGGUAAGGCCCUUUCGGGGGUACACGAGUGGCGAACGGGUGAGUAACACGUGAGUAACCUGCCCACAACUUUGGGAUAACGCUAGGAAACUGGUGCUAAUACUGGAUAUGUGCUCCUGCUGCAUGGUGGGGGUUGGAAAGCUCCGGCGGUUGUGGAUGGACUCGCGGCCUAUCAGCUUGUUGGUGGGGUAGUGGCCUACCAAGGCGGCGACGGGUAGCCGGCCUGAGAGGGUGACCGGCCACAGUGGGACUGAGAUACGGCCCAGACUCCUACGGGAGGCAGCAGUGGGGAAGAUUGCACAAGGGGCGCAAGCCUGAUGCAGCAACGCCGCGUGCGGGAUGACGGCCUUCGGGUUGGAAACCGCUUUCAGCAGGGACGAAGCUUUUUGUGACGGUACCUGCAGAAGAAGCACCGGCUAACUACGUG